GAUGAAGAACGCAGCGAAAUGCGAUAAGUAAUGUGAAUUGCAGAAUUCAGUGAAUCAUCGAAUCUUUGAACGCACAUUGCGCCCCCUGGUAUUCCGGGGGGCAUGCCUGUCCGAGCGUCAUUACAACCCUCAAGCUCAGCUUGGUGUUGGGCCCCGCCGCCCCGGCGGGCCCUAAAGUCAGUGGCGGUGCCGUCCGGCUCCGAGCGUAGUAAUUCUUCUCGCUCUGGAGGUCCGGUCGUGUGCUCGCCAGCAACCCCCAAUUUUUUUCAGGUUGACCUCGGAUCAGGUAGGGAUACCCGCUGAACUUAAGCAUAUUAAUAAGCGGAGGA
This 329-nucleotide unclassified non-coding RNA is filed under the name soil metagenome. Its description in RNAcentral is "partial contains 5.8S ribosomal RNA, internal transcribed spacer 2, and large subunit ribosomal RNA". The stretch from base 1 to 120 matches the Rfam family "5.8S ribosomal RNA", at positions 35 to 154 of the family's 154-position model. The record is from RNAcentral.